RNAcentral lists this long non-coding RNA (5182 nucleotides) under Marmota monax (woodchuck). The record is from RNAcentral. Lineage: Eukaryota; Metazoa; Chordata; Mammalia; Rodentia; Sciuridae.
CGUGGGCCUCAGGAUCUACCCUAGAAUCUCAGGGGGGCUCAAGGCCUUCCCCAGAAUUUCAAUUAGUUUGGAAAUGUCCACAUGGUCUUCAUGGUUCUUGGAAUUUUUCCCAGUGUUUAGACGAGGUUCAAAACUUCAACAAGAGAUUCAUUAAUUUUAUUCAUUGUUGUCUCAAUGGAGUUCAAAAUAUCUACAGAUCUGUAGGAAUGAAAAAGGCCCUUCUUUAGGUAGACAGUUGUGUGCAUAACAUUCCCAAGAGUCUUAGUGGUCUCCUUGCCUUCCAGGCUCUCAGUGCAGAUCAGCAGUUUUCACAAUUUCACCAUGUGCUCAAGGGCUUCCAAAGGGUCUCAAUAGAUCUCUUUGCCUUUUGUAGGUGAACACUGAGAUUCAAAGCCAACCUCAGAGCCUCCUAUUAUUUCAGGGUCUUUUACAGGUUGUCCAUGAUGCUCAGUACUCUUUUCAGAGUCCCAGUAAUACUCAGUGCUUCUUUCAGCCUUGGAGCAAGGCUCUGAAUCUUCAAAAAACAAAACAAAACAAAACAAAAAACACUGGGUUCAGCACAUUCAGGGAUUCUCAAUUAAUUCUCAAGGCCUUUCCCAGGUUCUCUGUGGCACUAAUGCCAUUUUCAGCCUCACAAUGGUGCUAAGCACCUUCCCCCAAUUUUGAUUGUGUGCCAGGGUCUUCCCAAGAAUUGUAAUAAGGCCUAGGGCCUACUCUACUAUUUCAGUGGAUUGAAGAACUCUGUACAAUAUCUGGUGGUGCUCAGAUUCUUCCACAGUAUUCUGAGAAAGUAAUGGCCUUCCCUAGUCUCACUGGGAAACAGAGCUUUGCACAAUGUGGCAAGGUAACACAUAGAUAUUCUCAUUGUCAUAGUGGUGCUCAGGCACUCCCUACUCUGUCAGUGACACUCAAGGCUACCUCAUGUAUCUUAGUGUAAGUUCAGGGCUUUCUCCAAGGUCUCAGUCUGGCUCAGUACUUUCCCCCAAUAACUUGCAAAGGCUCAGGGAAUUCUCUGGGGGUUUUGUUAAGAUCUCAGGUAUGAUUAGGUCUCUGAUUCUUCCCCAGAUCUUCUGUGAGGUGAAAGGCCUUCAUUAGAUUUAAGUAAAGUUCAAGGCAUCCAUAUGGUCCAAGUGGAGUUGUGGAUCUUCCCCAGGGUCUCCUUGUGGCUCAGUCUUUCUCCAUCUCAACAAUAGUUUGUGGCUUUUCCACAUUCUUUUGUGCCUCAGUGCCUUCCACAGUGUAUCUUUAGUUCUGAGGACACUCUCAAGUAUUUCAUGUUACUGUUACCGCUUUUGACCGGUGACGAGUCCUUCCUUCCCCAAUGUUGAAGAAUAACCCCAGAGAAGCACGCCGAGGCAAGGUCAGAGUGGAAAAUUAGAAGUUUAUUAAAGGAUAGCAGAAAAGACUUCUCCCAGAGGAAGAAGGGGACCCAAGAGAUGGAAUCUGUUGAAGGGCAGAUGUUUUCCCCUUUUUAUGGAAUGUAGGUGGGAAGACCUGAGGGGUGGGACACAGGUGGGCCAAAGAAGUAAUCUGGGCAGGAAGGACUUCUGAGGCAGCAUCUUCAAGUUUGCUGUUCAUUAUCACUUCUUUGGGAUGGGCUAUCUUCAAAUCUGCUGGGGGCUGUUUCCUGGACUUCAUUAACAUUUCAAGAGUUGCUCAACUUUUCUGGGAAUUCAUUCUCAUGGCCUCCAUUUUAGAUCUCACUCGAUAUUAGACCCGAUUUACCUAACUACACUGACUGCCUAAUUUUAAAUCUGGCUUCAUUACUCAGGCCUCUCCACUGAAUUUCAGAGGUGUUCAGAUUUUUCCCAUGAGUUUGUGUGAUUCAAAGGUCUCCAAAGUGUCUCUUGGCAUUUGGGCCUUCACUGGUUUCUAAGUGGUUCUCAGGGCUUCUCCCAGUGUAUCACUGGAAUUUGGGGCUUUUGCAGGUCACUAAGGAGGCUCAUGGACACUGAUACUGAUUAGUUAGAUUGUGGGUCCUUGCCCAGGGUUUCAGUGGGUUUCCAGCCUUGGAGCAAGGCUCUGAAUCUUUAAAAAAAAAAAAAAACACUGGGUUCAGCACCUCAGGGCUUCUCAAUGAAUUCCAAGGCCAGUCUCACACUCAUGCUCUAGGUAUUCCUCCAGAGUUUUAUUGUUCUCCUUUCCUUCCUCAUGCAUUCAGUUAAGCUCUUGGACAUUCCAAGCAUCUGGAUAUUCUCUGGGUUUUCAAAGAGCCUAAGGCUUUGCCCAGAGCCUCAGUGAACUCAUGACCAUUACCAGGCUCUCCGUUUCUCUCAGGGCCUUUUGGAGUGUUUCAGCAAUGUUCUGUGCUUUUCCCAGAGUCUCACCAGGGCUUUGAUAGUUCCUCAAAGACAAACUGUGUUCAGAGUUUUUGCCAGGAUCUCAGUAAAUCUCAGCAUUUUUCCCAUGUUCUCAGUGGAGUUCAUUGACAUCCCCAUUGUCACAGCAUUGCUCAUGGCUAGCCCAGUGUCUUACUGAACUCAUGACAUUCCCCAAAGUCCCAGUUGUUCCCUUUGCCUUCUGCACAAUCUAGUGUGUCAUUGCCUACCCAGGAACUAAGUGAAACUAUAGUCUUCCCAGGUUACACUGAUUAUUUAGGCUUACCAUAGCAUCUUAUUGACACUCCGGGUACUUGAGUGGUUCAGGGUCUUUCCCAGUGGGGCUCAGGGACUACCCUAGUGUCACAGUAAGGCUCAAGGCUUUUCCCAGAAUUUGAGUCUUGUUUAGAAAUACCCACAUAUUCUUCAUGGUGCUUGGAAUAUUGCCCAAUGUUUAGAAGGCUCAAAGUUCUACAAGUGUUUCAUAUUCAUUAAUUUUAUUCACUGUUGUCUCACUGGUAUUCAAAAUAUUCUUCAGAUUCUUAAGAAGGUGAAGAGCCCUUCAUUACAUUGACACAGAUAUGCGCAUGACAUUCCAAAGAGUCUUAGUGUUCUCAUUGCCUUCACAGGCUCAGUUAAGUUCACCAUUUUUCACAAUUUUACCAUGUGCUCAUAGUCUUCCCAAAGAUCUCAGUAGGUCUCAUUGUCUUUUCAGGGAAACACUGAAUUUCACAGCCAAUCUCAGUGUCUUCUAUUAUUUCAAGGUCUUUUACAGGUUGCUUUUCUGAGGCUUAGUGCUAUUCUCAGAGUCUCAGUCAUCACUGAGUCAUCAGUGCUUCUUCUAGCCUUGGAGCCAGGCUCUGAAUCUUCCAAAGGAAAUGCUGGAUUCAGUGUCAUUUAGGAUCUCAGUGAAUCAGGAAAUGCCCUGGGUUUCUGUGGAGCUAAGUGCCAUUCCCAGCAUGACAGUGGUGCUCGGUCUCUUCUGCAGUGUUUGAUUGUUAGGGCCUACCCGCAGUCUUUGAAAACAUGGGAAACUUCCUUAGUAACACCAAGAAUCUUGGAAUAUGCAAAAGCUCAACUCAAUGCAUGAGGAUAAAAAGGAGAACACUAAGACAUCGAGGGAACCCUCUAAGCAUGACUGUGAGCCUUGAGAAGACCAUGAAACCCACUGAGACCCUGAGCAAAAACCCACAACCAUUGAAUCAGUACCAGAGUUCAUGAGCCUUCUUAGUGACCUGCAAAAUCCCUGAAUUCUGGUUGGGAAAGCCCUGAACAUCAAUUAUUCACCAGUGAAGGCCCUGAAUUCCAAGAGACAAUUUUGGAGGCCUUUGAAUCACACAAACUCAUGUGAAGAAUCAGAACACCUCUGAAAUUCUAUGGGCAACCCUGAGUCAAUAUGAAAUUCUAGAGAUUGUCCUGUGAACUAAAGAUGGCAUGGAGGCCCACAAAAGAACAUGGGGAAGCCAUGAGCUUCACUGUUGAGCUGGAAAAGCACAGAGACACGAGGAGACCCUGGGAAAGAUCCACAACUGGGCUGGGAUGUAGCUCAGUGGCAAAGCGUCUGCCUUGCAUUCGCAAAGCCCUGGGUUCGACCCCCAGUUCCAAAAAAGACAAAAAAAAGAACCCCACCAAAAAAAAAAAAAUAAGAUUUAAAAAAAAAAAAAGAUCCACAACUCCACUUGGACCCUGGUGGAUGCCCCAAAUUCCACUGUAAAUCUUGACACAUUUAGCCUCACUGAAGCUCUGGGGCAAAAUCUGAGACCCAUUCAUACUUGAGAUCUCAAAAAAGACCCUAACUAAUUCCCUGAGCCUCUAUAAGCCUUUGGGGAGAGCUCUGAGCCACACUGAUACCCUGGAGAAAGCCCUGAGCAUCCACUAAGAAACAUGGGGUAGCCCUGAGUGCAACUGCCCCAGUGGGGGGAGUCCCUGAACAGCACUGUGGCAAUGGGAAUAUCUCUCUGCUACAGUGACACACUAGGUAAGGCUUUAUUCCCCAAAGAGACACUAGUGAAGGCCAUUAUUCUCCCAGAAUACUGUGGAAUGAACUGAGCAUCACUAGAUUGUGCAGAUUCUUAAAUCCACUGAACAUAACCUGAAGGGAAUAAACAAUAACAAUAAAACAAACAGAAUAACACAAAAACACAAGAUAGACACUCUCUCUCCAAAUAAUCCCAGCCUCCUGACUGUCAUCACAGUCUAUUUAUCAGAGCUUCUGGGUCUUGACCAGGGCCUCAUCAAACUCUUGUUCAUUUGAUACACUUUUGGGCAAUCAGGCACAAUCGUGCACUUGAUACACUUCAAAAGAUGCACAAUCAAGCACUUGAUACAACUCCAGAGGAGUGCCUUUGAUACACUUUAAAAGAUUUAUAAUCAGGGCUGGGGUUGUGGCUCAGUGGUACAGUCCUCACCUAGCAUGGGCGAGGCCCUGGGUUUGAUCCUCAGCACCACAUAAAAAUAAAUUAAUUACUUAAAGAUAUUGUAUUCAACUAAACUAAAAAAUAAAAAUAAAUAAAUAAAUAAGGAUUUAUAAUCAGAAGUUCAGGACCUCUAAGGCUUUACAAUCAAGUCAAAUGGAGAGAACAAAUGAGAUGCCUCCCAAUACGUGAAGUUUCAUCCUCCUUCAGAAGCCUCUGGAUUUACAAAUGUGAGCCACACCAGACUGGGAUUACAUGCAUGAGCCAUAUCAAACUCUAGGAUUACAGGCAUGAGCCAUGUCAGAUGUUCAUUUAUGGGCAGAUUCAAAUUGGUCACCCCAGGAGUUCAAGACUCUCAAAAACUAGAGAGUAAGAGCACCUCUCUCUGUGUCAGAGGAUCUUGGAUUCCUAUGGCUCCAGUGAUCAUCUCACUGGGACCUUCAAAAUGUU